Molecule: non-coding RNA, 525 nt
Organism: Pelobates cultripes (western spadefoot toad)
Lineage: Eukaryota; Metazoa; Chordata; Amphibia; Anura; Pelobatidae
Source: the annotation of a GenBank genome assembly
CGAGAUCUUCCAUUACUUGGACGACAUCCUCAUCAUAGGUCCAUCGUGAAGGAUAGUGGCUCAUCAUACAUUGGUGGCAAUGAACAUUCUUCAAGACCACGGUUGGCUUCUGAACGUAGAGAAAAGCUCCCUAAUUCCGUCUCAAACUAUCGUAUUUCUCGGAGCAGUAAUAAACACCAUCUCUGCCCAUGUGUUCCUGUCUCCAGAAAGGGUCAUGAAGAUCACAAGCAAAAUCGAGAAGCUUCAAGGUCUUGAAAUGGCCUCGGUAAGGGAAGUCAUGAGUCUCCUGGGUUCUUUAACAUCUACGAUAGGGUUAGUAAACAGAUUGGGAGCAGAAGAUAUCUCUUCCCCUGCCAGUGAGGAAAGAGUUGAACUGGUGGAAGAGCAAGAAGAAUUUAGCAAAAGGCUUCCCGUUGGAAGAGCCUCCAUGGAACAUUAUUACAACAGAUGCCAGUUCUUCUGGAUGGGGUGCCCACUUCAAUUCCUUGUGGACUCAAGGAAGUGGACCCGAGAAGAGAGUCAGCU